RNAcentral lists this ribosomal RNA (1236 nucleotides) under Oryza sativa Indica Group (long-grained rice). Its description in RNAcentral is "bacterial SSU rRNA". The stretch from base 394 to 1236 matches the Rfam family "Bacterial small subunit ribosomal RNA". Lineage: Eukaryota; Viridiplantae; Streptophyta; Magnoliopsida; Poales; Poaceae. The record is from RNAcentral.
GGUCUGAAUCAUCGUAGGCCUUGGGUUAAGGCAGGUUCGUGAGGGUUCACGGCCUUGAUUAAUAAUACUGUGUAGCUUUAGGAUCGUCUUUUUAAAAUGGCUUUGGGCAACUAAGUGACUUUUAAAUGCUAUUUACUGCAAAACUUAACCCCUUUAUUAUUACCCCUUGUACCCCCUUGCAUUAAUCAUGCAUCUGCCGGUGUGGCUUGCUGAGUAUUGUGGUUGUACUCAUUCUUGUUCAAUCUUUCCCCCCUUCAGUAAGAGAAGCUUCGGAGAAGAUGUCUUAGGUGGAGUCCUGGCUUAUACCCCAGUUGAGCGCCUGUGAAGAUGGAGCCGUAGGCCCGCUAGUCCGCUGUUGUUUAUUUUUGUUUGUCAGGCCGAAGUGCCUUUGUAAUAAUGUAAAUAUUAUCGAUAUAUUAAAGAUGUGCCUUUUGUAUCAUGUUUGUUUGGUGUACCCCGGCUUUUCCUGGGACGGGGAUUAAUACACUAGCGUUCGGGAAAAUGUAUUUUUCUCGGUCGCGACAGUUAAUAUUGUUUAAUUAUUACUUAACUGUUUUAUUAAAUUCUGAAAUGUUUAUUAAAUGCUGUUUAUGCAAAUGAAACCCUACUAUGCCAUCCUUUGUUAUCCUGUGCACUUGCAUAUUUGCUGCAUGGCUGUCGUCAGCUCGUGUCGUGAGAUGUUUGGUCAAGUCCUAUAACGAGCGAAACCCUCGUUUUGUGUUGCUGAGACAUGCGCCUAAGGAGAAAUUGUGGUACGUAGUGGUAAUAGUACGCGCCCCGCUCCGAAACAAAGAAAAAGGUGCGUGCCGCACUCACGAGGGACUGCCAGUGAGAUACUGGAGGAAGGUGGGGAUGACGUCAAGUCCGCAUGGCCCUUAUGGGCUGGGCCACACACGUGCUACAAUGGCAAUGACAAUGGGAAGCAAGGCUGUAAGGCGGAGCGAAUCCGGAAAGAUUGCCUCAGUUCGGAUUGUUCUCUGCAACUCGGGAACAUGAAGUUGAAAUCGCUAGUAAUCGCGGAUCAGCAUGCCGCGGUGAAUAUGUACCCGGGCCCUGUACACACCGCCCGUCACACCCUGGGAAUUGGUUUCGCCCGAAGCAUCGGACCAAUGAUCACCCAUGACUUCUGUGUACCACUAGUGCCACAAAGGCCUUUGGUGGUCUUAUGCAUACCACGGUGGGGUCUUCGACUGGGGUGAAGUCGUAACAAGGUAGCCGUAGGGGAACCUGUGGCUG